Molecule: transfer RNA, 83 nt
Filed under: Canis lupus familiaris (dog)
Lineage: Eukaryota; Metazoa; Chordata; Mammalia; Carnivora; Canidae
Also listed under: 1 other name
Rfam family: tRNA
About the family: Transfer RNA (tRNA) molecules are approximately 80 nucleotides in length.
Source: Rfam by way of RNAcentral
GCCUGGAUGGCUCAGUGGUUGAGCGCCUGCCUUUGGCUCAGGGCGUGAUCCUGGAGUCUCAGGAUCGAGUCCUGCAUUGGGCU